GCACCGCCUGGUUAGGUCCUAGCUUUUUAUACUUUAACAAUAAUAAUGUGGAUAGUUAAGAAAUUGAUUGACACAUACAAACUUAUGUAUAUUUAACUUAACUAAGGUUGAAUUGAUUGAUGUUUUAUUGAAAUAUGAGUGAGUAAUGUGUAAAUAAACCAACUUAAUAUCCAACGGUAUUUGCAUGGAUCUUUAUUCUAGUUGAAGGCAUAGUUUACUAAUUAUCAUUCUGAUUACAAGUUGUUGAGCAUUGUUGCACCAAGUUUUCCGCAAUAGCUUCCACAAUCAAUGCUCCACCUUCCUUGGCUUCUGGCACAUCUGGGAGCAAAUAUUACAAACUUAUAAUGUUUAGUGCCUAGUUUGAUAUAUGAUUGAGCGUUACUAAAUAAUAUAGAAACCCAAUCUUGGAUGUACGUUGAGAAUUGUCAGUAAGAAGAGUAGCUAGACAUCCAAGAUUGCAUAACUUGUUGUUGAUGUCAUUGUUAAUAGGAGGAUUGAAAACUAUACAAUUAACUCCACACUUACCAAUACAAGUAAGAUCAAUGAAACAAAUCCUUACACACCUCACUAGACAUUGUCCUUACACACCUCACUAGACAUUGUUGAGAACUUACAUUGGAUUGACCCACGAUCAUCCUCAUCACUGCCAACAUCAUUAUUGUCAUCCUUACUCUCCCACCUACCAUUUGUCUCUCUUUGAUAUAUGAUAAAUAAACUCUUUCCGUUUUGUUUCUUUCUUUGUUUUGAAUUGCUGGUGAUGAGUU
This 764-nucleotide long non-coding RNA is filed under the name Linum usitatissimum (flax). Its description in RNAcentral is "long non-coding RNA (LUSI_LNC007594)". Lineage: Eukaryota; Viridiplantae; Streptophyta; Magnoliopsida; Malpighiales; Linaceae. The record is from RNAcentral.